RNAcentral lists this long non-coding RNA (25782 nucleotides) under Nicotiana benthamiana. Its description in RNAcentral is "long non-coding RNA (NBEN_LNC003909)". The stretch from base 18206 to 18279 matches the Rfam family "tRNA". The record is from RNAcentral. Lineage: Eukaryota; Viridiplantae; Streptophyta; Magnoliopsida; Solanales; Solanaceae.
AAUGAAAAUAGAGUGGAAACAUGAGUUGAUCCAUAAUGAGUAUUAGAUUGAAGUUCUCUUAAAGAAGACCGCCAACUCCUAUCCCGAAGAUAGAAAGCGCCCGGUCCUCUUCUCUUGUGUCGAAGUGUAGUGUAGUGUGGUGAGGUUUUGCCUCACAGAAAGAGUGGGAGAAAAAAACGAAGAAUUUCGAAUCUAAUGAGUAUUAGAUUGAAGUUCUCUUAAAGAAGACCACCAACUCCUAUCCCGAAGGUACAAAGCGAUUCUAUGCCAACACGAGUAGUUUAACUCAUCACUACCUCGUAAGGGCGUUGAGAAUUGUUUCCAACUUGUUGAAGAUCUAGUGGUGCUACCCGAAGACUUAAAUGAAUAGCCAUCGCUCUUCUGUUAACAUGAACAUGAACUAGAUUCUAUUCUAAUUCUUUAUUCUUAAGAGAAUCCCCCACCCGAACUAUUCUUAAGACCACCAAGCUCUCUCGAAUGAAUUCUACUAUUUCUGCUUUCGAGCUACACCAGGGGCAAAAUCUUUUCCCCACUAAGACGUGCAUCUUUAUGGAUAUAUCUUCCUGAAGGCGGAUGCGACAGGAAGAAGUGGCAUUUGGAAGUGUUGCUUACUUAACAUUUAGGUUUUGGCAUAACAAAGCUUGCACUGUCUUUUCGCACUUAGGCGCACAGCUUUCCCAAUGGCGAAAACUUAAAAUCCAUGGUUUCCUGGUAAAACCCUAUUUCGCCCAAGUUGUUCCGAAAUCAAAAAAAAGAACCUGAACCCUGUCUAUGAGCAUAGCAAUCCUUUGAAUCUUUCCUAAUCCGCUUUCUCUUUUUCUUAUGCAUUGGGAACCUAGUCUUUAGGAGAAGCAGUUGCUCACUCGUGACAAUGGAUGUCUGCUUAUGUCAAACUAUCCUCAAUCUCUUUCCCCUAAUGAUAGGAUUUUUUUCAUUCCUUCACCUUCGACCCAAGCAAAAGGAUUUCUAUUCAGUUUAUCAACUUUACCGGGCAUGGAAGCACUCAAGCUAAAGCAAAUGCACCUAAUGAAUGGCUACUGGCAAUUGAUCCUGCAAGACCCUAGACUCGCUCUAAGUCCCUCCCUCUGAUGCCCAUGAUUCUUCCUAUUCAAAUUUAGCUAUGCUAAUGGAAGAGGAAAAGUUUUUGGUCCAUUUUCGUUCUCUUCCCUACCCGGGAAGGGGGAUCAAAGAAAGGUAGCUUGCUUAUCUCCUUGACGCUAUACUGACAGUUCACUGGAUGGGAUAGCAGAGACAGAAAGGAAAAGAAGUAGUUCCGAAAGGAGACUCCACCUAGCUAGUGCGCUCCUCACCUCAAUGCUACACUUCGGCAGCUACGAACUAAGACGCUUCAGAAGAAAAGCUACAUCCACUACCCGCAUUCACCCUGAUAGGCUACGCCGAGCUUACCCAUGGCCUUACUGCCCGAUUUUGAUUUCUGUCCCCGCGGGAGACAUCGUAAAUAGUUAAAUGUUUGAUUCCCCUAUUGAAUUAGGAAUCGAUUGAAUGGGACUUGCCUAUCCCUUAUUCAUAUCCGAUUUUUCUCUCUUUCUUUUUGAUACUUGGUUGGCAGGGUCAGGGCCUUUCUUACUGGGCGAGCUAAUCCGUAUCAUUCAAUGUUAAUGUGACCUUAACAGCCUUUAUUUUAAGCAAUUAUUCGCUCCAAGACGCACGGCAAGACCUUCGGUCUCUCUCUCUCUCCAUAGAAGCAAGCCUUUUUUUACCGGGGUUCCCUCUUUAUGGUUAAAAUCAAAUGCCAACGUGCUUGAAACAUAAAGUUUGAAGUGGGAUCUAGCCUUUGGUCUUAGUUAAGAGUUUUGCUACUAAUUGUGGUCAGAUGGGGCAUAAUCAAAGAAUUUGUACCUAUCAAAUUAAAGAAAAUAGAGUUCUUCCUUCUAGGCUUCUUCCUUAAUCAAGAAAAGCCUUUAUGUGUGAUGCUUCAAUGACUUAGAAAUCGGUGGCUUUGGUUAGGUGGAUCAAGCCACCACUGCUUUUUGUCAAGCUUAAUAGUAGAUCUCGGCAGAGGGUUCAAGAAUAGUGUAGGGUCCUGUCCUUAAGAUUCAGAUAAGAAGUGCUUGCCAUGCGAAGAGAGCUCUCACCUUGACGAGAGGAUUGGCAGGACGAAGAUCCUGAACAACCUCUGAAUCCGGUUUUCUCAUUAGGAUAGGAGGGAAAUCGGCAGCUUGACGGGGAUCUUGCACGCUCGCCCGAUUAGAAGAUGGAGCUGACCUCGCUGCUGACCUGGGAGCAGGAUUGCUACCGGUGGAAAGCAUAAAGCCGCCCAGUUUCAGUCUAAAUGAUUUGGUAGUUGGAAAAAGGCGUCCCAACCCGUUCAUUUCAUGAAGAUGGACACUGGCUUGGGUGCGGGCGCCUAGUCUAAGCCACGCUAUGAGAACUGACAAGCCUAAGGGCUAGUAGUAAGGCAUUGGGGAUCGUAGACCACUAAGGAGAGAGGCCAGUAAAUAGCACAAUACUUCUUUGUAUUCUCCGCUAUUUGAAUAUCUUUCGGAACCAUACAUCCUACAGCUAACAUGUGUCCAGUUCACAAUCACAUGAACUGUUCAACCCAUCUGAAUGAAAUGCAGGAAUAUACCCUAGACAAUGGAAGAAGUCUUGGUGUGAAUGAGAAAUAUAAGUUUCCUAUUUUCAUAUGAAUCAAUGGGAUUAUUUCAAAUUGUUCAAGUGGGCUGGAGACGAGAUCUUUCGAUAGAUCCACCGCAUCUUUAAACUCUUCUCCCCCUACUCCGUUUUGCUGCAAAUCUAUCAUCUUGUCAGGAAUUGCUUUAAAAUUGGGAACCUACGAGCUUUUAAGAAUUUCAAUACCCAUGUUUCCCAUAGAGAUGUGAGAAGUUUUUCUUUCGCUAUUGAGUGACCGUCCUGUUAGCAGUGCCAUACUAGAUUGGCAUUCAAUCUAUCGAUUUAAUUUCUUCUCAAACUGACCUAUUACGCACUUGCUGGUUGCUCCGUUAUAUGCAUGCUAAUGGGGCAAGCUCAGACCUCGGCUGUGAAACUAAUGUUUUUAAGUUUCUUCCUUAGGAUGAUAGUUUAUAUAAAUAGACCUAUUUGCCGAAACGUAGCUUUCUUUCAUAUAUAGAAUUCUCUUUGAUUGCUUUUUAUGAAGUCGCACCGGGAGCUAGUGCUUCCUAUCUAAGAAUUGCUCUAUGGAUCUCAUCAUAAAUGUUUGAUGCUUCUUGGGGAUUCUUUGGCGACCAAGGGAAUUUGCCUCAACAAAACAAGUUUUUAUUUUCAGAAAGAUCCCCACGCUGAGGGAUGAACCUUGCCGGAAAAUACUUCUCUUCAUCACGAGACUAAUUGGAUCUGCCAUAGACACCUGAGCGAUCUUCACAAGGCAGGCUAAAAUAAAAGACUAGGAGGCGCUGGUCUAAUCCUUUUGCCGCUGCAAGGCUGGAAGGUUCGAGCAUGAUGGCGGUUAGUCUUCCUCGUCUCUUUCGGGUGGGCGGCAGGAAUAGAUCUUCUAGAAUCAGUAUUCAGGCAGUGGCCGUAUAGUCUUUGGUUCAUUGGAUGGUCGGUGCAAGGCCAGAAAUUGGAACACAUUGAUUCCGCUUGUUCCCGUCCUUUGCUUCAGGGCCUGUCCCUCUGUGUGGUCAGUCUAAAUUCGUCUCGCUGCCGGCUAUGGUUUGGACCUUUUGCCUCUCCUUUGUCUCAAUGUUUAUCUCGUAAUCAUUCGAUUCUGCCCCUAACGCUAGCUCCUACUCCCCAGCCGGGGUGAUAGACCACCGCAUGGCCGAUAUGAUUACCAGCCAAUGAGAAAUUUCCACUGGAUUUAUUGUUCGAUAUCGCGGAGAGAAGGGAAUGCGUCGAGGCGGCGCACAAGACAACUACAUUUUGGAUUUUCCCUCCAUGAGAUGAGCCAAGUGCAUUGGACCAAUGGAGAUAAUGGCUAUUCAGUUAUCUGCUGAAAUCUGUGUGCAUAAAGGCUGGAUUGGUUUCCCCACCUUAAAGAACCGAGCAUUUUAAGGGUCACUUACUUUUUCUUUUGUCGAUUUCAAAUGGGUUUGGUUGGUAUAAUAGCAAAUAGGAAUAUUCGCCCCCUUCUUUAGUGCUUGUUCAUUAUAUAAGACUUCCUUCCCGUUCUCGGUGAAGGAAUCGGAGUUGCUAUAGAAUCAGCAUCUUACUCUUUAACGGCAAGCUCAGCAACGAGAAUUUUUCCUCUGCUGGAAAGCAGUCCUUCACAGAUAUGGGAGCUUACUCUACAGUUGCUGAGAAGUUGAUGAAAUAGUGAGUUAAAUGAGAGGAUAGAGUCAAAGGCGAGCUAAUGAGCUUCUCAGUCAAUGAAUAGCUUCCCUUGAUGUGAGAAGAACUAUCUAUUUGAAUGAUUAAGAAAGUGGCCCUCCAUUCCUGCUUUAAAGAGUAGAUUGAAGAGCUUAUUUAUUCUCCUACUACUCCUCCCGGCCCUGUCCCGCAGCCGGCCAAUCUGCUGCCUUAACAUUAGAAAGAUCAUUUUUGUUCAACGCAAAGGGUUAACAGUUGAUAGGCAAGUCAAGCGGUAAAUCAGUAAAUCAACUAAGAAAGGCACUAAUAGCUAUUCAUUCACCAACAACAGCAGCAAGGCAAAGUGGAAGGAGAAAAGAAAGAAGGAUCAAGUCGAGUGUAGUUAGAAAUAGACAAGAGCAUUCCAUGGAAUAGGCCUACGAGAGGUAUUCAACAAGCGCCACUCAACCGCGCAAACUAAGCCCUCCAUAGAAGUUCAAGAAAGUAAAGCUACAUACUACUGGAAAGAUAUGGGCUUUCUCCUUUCUAUUUCUUGCGGGCUAUCGAUUUCGGGUUGGGACUUUGCCUUUUUUUGUUAAAAACUUAUUCAAAAGUAUUCAAAGAGCCUUUGCAUAGUUUAUGAAUUCUACUUAGUAGGGACCUAAACAAAGGAAUGUUUUCUUCUCAGAGUCAGACCAUGCCUAUUAACAAAAGGGGGAGAAAGGACGGAUCACCUGUCGAUCUUGAUCAAAGAAAACAUCCGAGUCCCCACAUCCGCUUUUCUCCGCCCGCAACCCAAUAAGUUGGCAAAGCAAACAAAAGAUUAGGGUCAUCCCCUUCAUUCAAUGCUGACCUCUGCCCGGGCUGGCUUCUUGGGAAGCCUGUUCCCACCGUGCUCACGGCCUAGCUGGCUUGCCAGCGGUAGUGGGAAUUAUCCCUUUCCCUGGUCAAAGACUUGGUUGGAUGUGGUAUCUACUCCACGAGGAGCGGUAUAGACCUAGAUGAUAUCAUCACGACCCCUCUUUUUGUACCGCUAGGGAUGCUUAAUGCCACUUCGCCAACUGGCGUUACCUGCGCUUUCGUGUCUCUCAGUGUGGUCAACACUGGGUGUUUCCGAGCAGCGAGGCUUACACCCAUUUGCAUUAGUUCAUCCAAAGUUCCUUACCCUUAUGCAUGAAUUAUUAAAUAAGUCAUCUUCCUAUCAAGGUUAAGGAGUCAACUUAGCAUCUCGGCGGCGGGAUUGAAUACCCAGAUCGAAUUAAAGUUCACGCCGCCCACCUUAUGCCACCGGUGACCGCCCUGUCUUUCUAGUAUCUAGUACUAGGACUAGUAGAGUAGAGGCACUACUGGGCGGGGCUUCCUCGAAGCUUUUUGAAUCAAUAAAGGAAGCCUAUUGAAUUGGGAAUAGAAGGGUAAUGGGAAUAUGUCAAUGAACUUAAAGCAGUGGACAAAAGGGGGGCGGCAGUCCCCUGGACAUGGUCCUUUCAGGCAGUGGCCAUUUAGUCCAUAGUCCAUAGGAUGGUCGGUGCAAGGCCAGAAAUUGGAACAUAUUGAUUCUGCUCGUUCCCGUCAUUCGCUUCAGGGCAUCAUAUUAUCCGAAUAAACAGAAAAUACCAAAAAGUCGCCCAACCUCUACAAGGUGCUGCUCGCUUUAUCUCAGCCACUAGUGGCUUAUCUAGUUGUCGGCAUUCCUACUUGCUCCUCCUUGCCCCCUACUUAAGAAUCCAAAGGUCACCUUUGGAUGUUGUCAUGACGCUUUGGUUAUGAAGGUUGCAUCCGGUCUAAGUUUAUGGAUGGAUUCAGUCAGCUAACUCCAAAGGAAGGGAGUCUUCUCAAAGCUGUCUAAGUCUUGUAAGGCUAGUAUAUCUAUAUAGAGAGAGGUCAUGGUAUGGAUGGAGGAUUUCUACACGCAACAGCAUGGUUGGAGCAUUCCUCCUUCUUUUAAAAGAAGACUAGAGGACGAAAGAAGAAUCUCUUACAUCGGAUAAAGCCUAAUUUCACUGUCCUUUGAAGAUUUGAAGAUAGUGAAGGCCGACUUCCUUUUUAAAGAUCACUCCACGAUGUGGCAAAUCCCCUUUUUUUAGUAGACUAGGCUAAGGGACGGACUUCAUCUCUUCUAUUUUCUUCACUUACACCUUACACUUCAGCUGAGUCUAACGAGGCUCAGGUGCGGAGCCUUCCACUGUGGACCGAGACUACGCAAAGGUAGAACACCAUGGAAACUUUGUCUAACGAGGCUUAGGUGUGGAGCCUUCCACUAUGGACCGAGAAUAUGCAAAGGCAGAACACCAUGGAAACUUCGCUGACUUUAUCAUCAACGUUGAUUUCACUAUGCUCAAUAAGAACCUGGAAUAGCGGAAAUAGAUUCAAACGCCUCUCUAAGAGAAAAACUGUUUCUUCUCGAUAGGGAAGCCCCAUAAAAUUCUUUUUUCAUUGUUUGAUACAAAAGAAAUCCCAUUUAUUUUUUGGUUGCCCCGUAAUGCGUGAAUUAGUGACCUUUUCUGGAAGAUUGAGAAUAUGAAGGUUAGCCCCUCGGCGCUUGGGAGGCAUCCUAUUUAAUAAAGAUUCUUCCUCUAGUUGAAUAGAGUAUUAGUCAGCUCCAUUAUAUUCCCCAUUAUUCUAGUUUCUCUCUAUUCGAAAUAUCAUAAGAGAAGAAAGCUGGCAGGUUGGAUCCUAGGGUAGAUUCUUGCUGUUGAAUGAUCGGGCGGCGAAAGCAUACAAAGAUAGUGAGGCUUCCAUCGCUUAGAUUUAGGCGAUAGGGCGCUCCACAGAUACGAUAAGAAGCACCCCUCAAUCAAUAGGUCAAUGAUUGAAAGAUAGUACCAGUAACAUCUCUAAUCUUUGAGAAAAUCGGGGUCUUUUCCACAUAAUAGCGUCAACCAAAGACCGAAGCAACUUUGCAGACACUAAAGAGAAAUACCUAGUAACUUCGUCGCUAAAAAACUAUUUGGAAAACUCCAAAACAUGACUGAUUUUAAUAUGAAUUGACUCCGCUUUGGUCACUAGCUCCGUAGGUCCCUAAGAAUCUUCUCUCGUCACUACCUCUCACCCAGUGGGAAGUAAUGAGGCUAGUCUCCCCCCUCCCCUCUGAAUGAAGAAGUAGUGGGGCCCCGGACUUCAUAUUCAUCAUUUUUGAAAGCGAAGGGAAGGUUCUUCCCCUCUACUUUAUUUGAAAGUGGCGGAGAAUACCACUCUAUCAAUAAUAAGAAAAAAGUAACAAUUCUGUUUCAAAUGGUUUGAGUUGUCUCCACUAGCAUCAUUUGAAGAAAGAACAAGAAAAGGUUUACUGUUUAGGAUAGAUGGAUGUGCCCAAUGGCUAUAGCUCUUCCAGCUUACUUAACAGGGUCCUUAGUUGAAUACCGAUCAAAAUUGCUUGAACUACCUCCUCCCGACAUGAAGGAAUGCGCAAUAAUCAUUCGGGGGCUCCCAAGCCUAAUGAAUGGAAAAUGUCGCUAGAUUUACCGGAUAAUCAAGUUGUACCAGAAUGUCUAUGAUCCCAUAUUAAGGAACCCUUGUCGCAGCCCUCAAGAAGCUGGAAAGUACCCAUGUGGCACACCAUCCACAAGCACUCCAAAGCGAAGCAUAAAAUGUACGAGUUAAAAGUCUAUCGUGGAAAUGAAAAAAAGGGGUCUCCCCUCCAUUUUAAGCUGACCCCAGCCGGGGCUGGCUUCUGGCAUAAAUGCCACUAGGUCAUCUAUGAUUUGCAUCUACAAGAAUGAAGGAAAAAAGAUUAGAAAACUAAAAAGAAAGCCAGGGCGUCCGGUUGAUGAAGUCUACCUGUGUAAUGUCAGGCUGAAAAAGAGGGGAUAGCAUUAGCGAGUCGGGAACUUUCACUGCAACUGAAGAGGCUCACACCUUACACAUGAAAGGUCUCAUUCAUGUUGAUUGAGGAGUUUCUUACUUACCGCUAAACCUACUCCUUCUGAGAAUGGUUUUACCCCGCUCCUCAAUCUUAUUCUGUUUCUGAUCCUACUUCAGAUUAUCUUUUAGUUGUGGAAACAAGCCCUUAUUCCUAUCGGUUGAGUAGCCCAAGCCUCUAUGCCUUGUAUGAAGGAGCAUCCACUGCGCCUACUAGUGGGUAUGAUUAAAGUAAAGAGCGGGUCUCUCAGAAAAUAGUACUUUAUCUGUAUCUGUCUCAGCCUCCCCUAUCACCAACCUGUACCUUCUUUCAAUGCACCAUUUAAGGCCAGAAAGCACCUUAUUCCUCCACCAGCUUCUUCUUGGCAUCAAGCCAGCCCUUAUUCCUUGCAUCAACAGGCAAUCCCGCAUAAAAGAAAGGCUACUGACUUGGCUGAUUCAACAAGGGAAAAAGGCAUCCAUUCAAACUGCUCCCAUUCCUAUGUUGACACCAAGAGAAACAAACCCUGGAGCCUUCCUCUCUAUCCAUUCCUUUUUCAUAAUCAUAAAGGAUGGAAAUGCUUAGCUUACUAAACCAGCAACAGCGGAGUAAGCUCCCAUAUCCGUGAAGGACUGCUUUCCAGCAGAGGAAAACUUCUCGCCUUUCUUAUUAUAAAGUUAGUUAUUAGAAAGUUUUCUGAUGAGCAAACUCUUUUUCUUCAGAUCCAUUUUAGUAACAAAGAAAUGUUUGAGGCCUUUUAUCUCGUCCAAGGCCUCAAACCUGAUAUCUGAGAGGAGAUGUCUUUGGGAGCUGCUAAAGAAAGUGUCUAAACGCAUUCAGGGACCAUGGUUGGUCACCAGGGACUUCAAUUGGUCCUUUCUCGAACUUUCAGGCAGAUUUUCUUUUGGGCAGUUGUUCACCGUUGGAUCUCGCCAAUACAGCCCCCUAUAGUUUUCGUUACCGAGAUAUCUUUUUUUUUUCAUUGUUCCCAGGGAUUUUUUGGGGAAUCUGCUCCCAUGCUGCAAACAGUCAAAUCUGAACUGAACCCUGUCGCUCUUCUUUCUUUCCUCGCCAUUGUUCCUAGGGAUCUUUUGGUGAAUCUACUCCCAUGUUGCAAACAAUCAAAUCGUAACUGAAUCCUGUUGCUCUUCUUUCUUUCCUUGCGAGCAGGAAGCACACCAGCAGCGUGCAUUGCGUGAUUCUAUUGUAUUUUUUGCACUUGAAUGGGUGGACAGUUGACUGGAAGAUAACUUCGAUUCGCCCGACCAGCAGGCGGGCGGCGUACCUAUCUUGUGUGACAACACUACAGAGAGAGUUUCUAUUCUAGGCUAGAGCAAUCCGAACUCUGGACAAAAUAUAAAAGAGGACCUCAGGCAUAUGUAAACACCUCAACGAACUCAUGUGGACACUCCUCAACCCGAGGACAAUCUCUCAAAUACACAUGUUGAUGUUGUUAACCCGUUUUCCUUUUCUUUGCUGAUUCCUCUCAAUGAAAUUUUCCAUGUUGCACUAAGUUACCUUCUCAAUUUCUUUCACGUAAUCAAACCCGGUAAUAAGAUUUGAACAUGGAUUAAUUCCCACCGACUGGAUCUUUCAUAGAGACCAAAUUAGGAAAAGAUGCUGACACCGAACAGUUAAAGAAUUCUCCGUCGCUUCAAGAAUGCCAGCCUAUUUGCUUUGAACCAAAGCAGACGCUGCCCAUGGAGAGCUUUUUCCUUUGUGAACAUUUUUGUUCCCAUAAGACAUGACAAAAAUUGGGCUUCCAGGCGCCUUACAAUAAAGAAGCCGCGACCCCUCGGUGUCUUACACAUCUUCUUUGACCCUGCCGAAGUAGCUUUCUUUCUUCAGGUAGUGAAGUCACUCCAAUUUUUGUAUGACUUGACACUCUAACGUCUGUUUCUUUCCACUAGUUACUUAAUUGUAUUCGACUUCUAUCGCAAAUCUAUUAUAUCUGAUUAAAUCUCUUCCUAACGCCUUUAGGGGCUAUGAAGAGAGCCCAGAUCCAGGCCCUCUUUUAGAAAGAAAAAAAUUGUACAAAAAGAGGGCUUGGCAGUAGCACUCCAUCCUGAUGUUUUUCCAGAAGCUCCUUUUCCGACAGAAAGAGAAAACUUUAGCCCCAGACUGAAAGGUUGGCGUCUCAAUCUAAACCAGCCUUGUCUACCAAGAAUCGAUACAUCGAGAAGGUAGCAUGUAAAACUAGUAUGCCCUUAAUUGAGGAAGUGAAAACUCGUUUGAAAAGCUUCUAUCUGACAGGAGGAAGUACUCAACUUGUGAAUGAAAGGAAAGAUGACGCCCAUGCGAAGUCAACUUAUUUAAGAGUCCUCUUUAAUUCAGGUAACUAAUUAAGCGCAUGUAUCUACCAGCAAAAGCAAUGUAUUGAGGAAAAGGCAAGAAAAUUGAGCUAAACCUCCUUCCUUCCCUGUGGUUGACUGAUUUUUCUUCCUUUUCCGGAAUAAUAUAUUCCAAGUCUGACUUUUAAAGCAUACGCAUUGAAAAAAAAUGAAGGAGCCUCUUUUUAUGCGACACUACUAUGGUGAAGAGUGAAUCGAGACUCUUUUUAUUGAGAUUUCCAGCUGGGAAUUCUAAAUUCUCUUAGUAGAGCCUGAAAGUAGCCCUUGGAUUGAUUCCUACCACGGACGGGUAUGCAUUUCAUCCAUAUCGUCGGCCUCACAUGGACGGAGAUGCUUAUGUUUAUCAUAUCACGGCUUCUAAGAUGCAAAUACAGGGGCUACUAUUGCUACGGGAGCUUAUUGGUGGAGCAAGAAGAGCGGAGAUGGUUAAACGAGUAUCCCACACCGAAAAGGUGCCCAUAUAGGUUUUCCUCGAAACCCCCCAGUAACUAAGGUAAACAACGUAGAAAAAGCACCUAUUUCUAUACCGGUUCCGGAAGAGCGAAGAAAAAAGGGAUGUUUUGAUAAUAGGAACAAAAAAGUGUUUAUAGCCGUAACGAUAUAAACAAGAAUACUCAUCCGAGCCGCAAGAACAUGUACAUACGAAAUACGAGAAUUUCCACCCUUAUCUAAAGACACGACAUGUUGAAAUAGCUUCGGUAGUUACACUUUCUGUCUCGCGAGUGGUCCUUUCUUUUAAGAAAUCGGAGUAGAGCCAAUUUCUCGUGCUUUCUCAGUGUUCCCCCCUUUCUUUGAGUGCCUCGCCCGGUUCACUGGUGUAUCAGCUACUUGUGUCAUCACCCUGCAAAGAGGUGGAACCAACCAAAAGCAACUGUUCCAGACAGUUUUCUUUAAAAGAUGGGUUAGAUGGCGAAAGCCUGGUUUCCAAGUUCCCUCCCACUCUUUUAGCUCUGAUUGUAUACGCUCUUCUUCCAAUAGGAGUUCAACAUUCAUUCAAAGUAUUCUCCCCUUGCCAUGAUUCAAGCAGCGUAUGGGAUCACUGCACUUCGAGCUAAUGAUAUAGUAGUUAGAAACUAGUGGUAAUAAAGAGUGACAGUUCUGACACUAAGUACUGUUUGAGUACUUAUAGUGAAGUGGUAGAAGCGGUCAUGUCCUUACUUUCUCUCUUCCUUCAGUUUGCCUCCACGAACGCGCCACUUAGAAUCCCUACUCAUAUUCCAAAGGCGCUACUUCAAUUCAAGCGCAAGCAUCAACUAUGUUCCUGUGGGCUUUUGAGGAGCAGGAGAAAUUGUUUGAAUUCUAUGAAAGAGUCUCAAAACUAAAAAUCUUUCUUAAGAACCUAGGCGACUUGCUUUAAAGCGGCGCUUUCGGGAUUUAGCGAGAACAACUAUAAUUGAAUCGGGAAUGGAAAGACUUCACUUCAACUCAAUAAAUGACGUCUACUUCAUAAGGAAGCGAGGUACUAAGUUUAGCGUCGAUAAGGCAAGUAGUGGAUCUUUAUUAUCGAAUGAUAUGGGAGGGAUCAUCACUGUCCAUAUGCCGCCCAAGGGUAUGAAAGGAAAGAGACGCUAUCUCUAUGAUUUUAUCCUUCGCGUAUCGGCCCCAUACUUCUUUGAUCUCCCUUUCUCCUGACGUAUGAAAGUAACACAGGCUUGGCCAGCGUUUUUCAAACUUGAUGGUCAAGUUCACUGCUACUUCAGUAAAUACGCCUUGGAUGGGCCUAACAACACUGUACCUGGAAGCACUUUUGUUUUCAACCGCCAGAUGGUAAAGGAAGGCUCCAUCCCUCCUUUCUCUUGCAAUCAUAAUAGCCGCACAGUCGAAUAUCAAGAAGACAAUUCCAUCCGAAACUUCACCUAUCGCAGAAUUUUUGGAGAUGGUCACGUCAGCGGCGGAAAGUGGAUCAUUCAUGCGUAGACUUAACUGCAAAAGAAAGAUUCAUGGGUAGAAGAUUUCUAAGUCAUUGAAGCAUCACACAGAUGACAGAUACUCUUCCAGCUCUCACCUACUCUAACCUUGCCAAACUGAGAAUGCAGCAGGUGAGAUAAGGAGUAUGUGAUCAAUGCCUUGGAUCUAUUGAGUGAUGGUUUUUCAGAACCAUAUUUAUUGCUGCACCUGGACCUCCACAGCUCCCAGCAAACCAAAGGAGGCAUGACCUCCAAAAUGAGAAUGCAACAGGUGAGGUAAGGAGUAUGUGAUCAAUGCCUUGGAUCUAUUGAGUGAUAGUUUUUCAGAACCAUAUUCAUUGCUGCACCUAGACCUCCACAGCUUCCAGUCCAGCUCCUGUUUAAGUUGGAGUUUCCUAUGGAAAAGGAAAAAUUGCCUAUGCUUAAUGAGUUUCCAUACCCAGGCCUAAGCGUGAACCUAUCCAAUUUCAAAGGGACUACGAGUCACCUUCUCUGAGCAAUAUUCUAUUUUUCAGAGAGAAGAAUGUACUAGAUCGGCUAAUGCUCCCAGGUUGACGCAAUGUAUUCGUGAUCAUAAGUGGUUGUUAAAAAAGGUCUGUUUUCGAAAUGGAGAUUCCUUUCCCCUAUGGUUGUAGGAACAAUCCUCACCGCCCUUUCAAUUCUAUCCAUAAGUCUCUAUGGAAGAAGCCAAUUAAAUAAAAGAAAGAAAAGAUUGACCGUCAAGUUUGAAAAAAGCUGGCCAAGCCCAUGGUUGAAGAAUGAGGCGAUCAAGAAAGCCGUGGGCCUCGUAGUACCCGCAUACGACAACUCUAUGGAGUUUUUGGGGUCGAAAGCCUAUUCGACGUCAGAACCAGAAAGGCCUUAUCUCAGCGAAUAGAAGAUACUCAGCUCCGCACAACAUAGGGAUUAGCACACUUUCGGGAAGCACAGGGAGGAGUGCGGGACGAACUCAUGCUGGAAAAACUCGUCGACGCCAUCAAGUAUCUUACAGAAUGAAAGCGAGACUGGACCUAGAUUCGCGUAUGUAAGUGAAAAUGAAAAGAAAUGAGUUCCCCCUCCCCUUCUCCUUUCUUGUAUAGAAGGGGAAGAGGAGCUCAAACAAGGUUCAAAGAUCCCCUCCCCAAAGUAUGGUUUAAAGAAAGCCUUUCGGUUUAGUGAGGAACAUGAUAGUGAAAGGAAGAAGAAAGGAAAUCAGUUUAUAGUGGCUUACCUUCGUACAUUCAAGAACAAUUGUGACUCCUUGGCAUCUAUCAAUGCACCGGUGCCCCAAUCUGAAAGCAUGGGAGAAAAAAAGACGCACAAACGAAAAAGGGCAAAAACAGGACGAAGUAAUUUCAUAUAUAAAAUGAGCGGUACACUGAACACGAACCCAAUAUCAAAGAACUUCGGGGGACUUGACUCCACCAAAAGGUUCUUUCUCUCACGUAUUUUCCCUCGUCCCCUUUUUUGAGGAAUUGAGAAAGAAAAGGGUAAAUCUAGGAUUCAAAGUCAUCGGGUUCUGCUAUUCAUAUGCCAGCAGUACUGAUCCUCCCUAGUUCAAUCAGAAUCGAGAACUGCGGAGAUGUCCUAACCGGCCUAGCCUAACCGUCUCUUUCUUUUCUAAUCCCUCCCCCUUCAUUCCUCGAUCCUCCAUAUCUCUUGGAUAAUUAAUUCCCCUCUUUCAAUUCAUGGAAAGCACGGUCGAAAAGACGACCUUUCUCGCUGGGCGAGCGCAUCCAAUUCUAAAGUCCUUUCUUAUUCUUAAACCACUUCCCGUUCAGUUGCUGAAAGGUGGUGAUCCCUAGAUUCAGACUCAAACUCCGAAAGCUGACCUGCCAAUAGACAUUGUUGGAGAAUACUCUUCACCAUUAUCAGAGGCUUCCCUUCCCUUACUCUAGGGCUUUUCUUCUCUUCUUCUCUAAGGACAGUGAAAGUCACCUGAUACAGGGCUUUCUCCUGUAAUCUGUCUCUCGAUAAGAAGCUUUCUUUUGAUCCGGGUUAAUCUCGUCUUCUUGAAGAAUUACGGAUUCCUAAACCUAGUAAGGGAAAGCGAUUCUACUCCAAUUGCAUUCAUCAGUCGGAUGAGAGUGAGAAUAGAAAGGAAGCCGGGAGGAAGAAUGGAGUAUAGCAUUACCUCUAGAGUACAACCCGGAGCCUUCAAUUUCUUUCCUAGUAAGGGAAAGCGAUUCUACUCCAAUUUUAUUCAUCAGCCGGAUGAGACUGAGAAUAGAAAGGAAUAUGCCAACUCCUUUCCAGUUCCCAAUAUUUCUUUGCUGAAUCACUUGUUGUCACUGUUAAGAUAGAAGGCCUGGAUUCCUCUGUUGGUUGUACAGUAAUUUGUCUGAGAAGAGAUGUUUGGGCGCACCGAUUUCUAGAUAUUACAGAUAGUGGAGGAUGCCUGGCUCUGACGAGUGCCAUCUCUUUCGAUCUAGCUCAAAUACCUAUUUAAGGUAUUUUCAUAAAGCGCAGCCUCCCUAGUAGGGUGGCUAAUGAGUAGGCCGCGGAUUUAUGACCUCCAAGCCAGAACUAUAUGGGGGGAUACCAAAUCAUAUAUGGGUUGAAGCAUUCACUACUACAGUGUAUUUAAUCAACAAAUUGCCAUUUUCUGUUAUCAGCAUGCAAUCUCCCUUUUCUUCUCUUUAUGGUCGUGAUACUUUUCAGGGGGAGAUCACUACCCUUUCUGAGACGUCUGACUAGUUUACUUUAAAUCAAUCUUCAGAGCAAAGUUCCGAUAGUACAGUUCAAGGUGCCAAUAAUUCAUCUUCAAAAAUCAUCCUAUCUCUGUUUGCCGCCUCCAGCGAGCACUUUAUGGCCUUAAACAAGCACCCAACGUAUACAAAGGGCUAUUGAAGAAAAGUUUUGUACUCAAUUAGUUACUCAGUCCCUCUAGCCGGGUGGGCGCCGGCCGGUUUUUCGACCAGAUCCCCCUAAAAACCAUACGUGCGGGUCUCCCCGCAUGUGGCUCAUGCCAUUCGAGGUGGCCCAUCCCAACAUUCAUUGGCAAAUCCUGUAGUGAAAUUGAGACUGCUCAACCUCGGAAAAAAUCUUACUACUCAGGAUAGUAAAUAAGAAAGAUUCAUCUAAAAUUGAGUGGAUAGGCAACGGGAGGAUGGGGGGAAGAAUAAAGACAAAAUGAAAGCAGGAAUGCCCCACCCCAUCCAAGAGCGCUUAUGUCAUAGGGGAACUCAUGGUUGGAAACAAUCCGUAUGGUUUGUUUUGAUAUCCGGUAGGAAUAAUAAAAAAAAAAGUCGAGGUUGGUUGGUGAGCCUAGUGAUAUGAGACUAUCUAGCUUGGUUCGGAUAGCACUUGUUGGGUUAAUUAUUUAUUUGUUGCUAAAUGUUACAGCCUAAAUAAAAGCACAUAAAAUGUGUAUAGAAGCACAAGGGAUGGAGCCUAGUGAUAUGACCCUACUUGUUUGGAUGGGUGUAGUUUGGAGGGAUCAUCAUAAAUGAUUAAAGUGUGUCGUUCAUGAUACAUAAAAUAUUCAGACAGAGCUGCUCCUGUAUAAGGAGGCUCUCUCAUGUCCAGUUUUGAUGUCUAACUAACUAACUUACAACAUAGGCCCGAAGAGAGAUAUUCAGGAAACCCGAUUUUCCGGCUUGGUCUCGCUCCCUUCCCGCACUAUUCCUCCCCACUAAAAAGAGCGGUUGAGAAUCUCGAGAACCUUUCUGAAGGUCUGUCUUCGCGGGGCAAUUGGAGCACCCCCUAUGCUAUGAUACUUGGACUAGGGGCCUCCUUCCCUUGUGCCUUUAUACACAUGGAAGUACCUUUUUCUUAUCAAUUCGCCUUCAUAACAAAAUAGUAAAUUUGGUGACUACUAUUUUAGAGUUCACCCUCUCAUCCCAAACUUACCCUUUUUCCAUGGAAGCCCUCCCCUCACUUUAUUGUUCUUCAUGAGUGGGAAGAAAUCAAAAUCUUUAUCAUCCAAUACCAAUCCGAGAACAAUAGGCUAAGCAUGCAGCCUAGCCGCUUCACUCGUCAAAAAUAGGCUCAGAUGGAAAAUUGGAUUCAGCUGGCUAAUUACUUGAUGACCCGGUAGAGAAUGGGAACAGAGAGUCGCUCCCAUAAACAAAUUAAUGGGACUCCUUCUCUAUGUAUCGAUUCUUGGUAUACAAGGCUGGUUUAGAUCGGUACGCCCAUAUUUCGGUCCUGGUUGAAGUUUUUUCUUUCUGUCGGAAAACGAGCUUCUGGCAAAACAUCGGGAGGCUUCUAAAGUUCGCUCUUGUCAAAUUCUCCAAAAUCUCAUCAACAUGUCUGAGGGAUGAUGAAGGCGAUGCCACAAUUGAGGGAACCACCUCUUACUCUUUUUUAGAUAAGAAUGCGAAACACCCUGACCCUGUCAACCAAGCCCACUCAGAUAGACUAAGUAGACUAAAAAAAAUGCACAAGAAAGUUCAUGACUCAAUGGAUCAUCUUAGACAAGAUGAAAUGGAGGAUUUUUCAUUGUCCCCUCCAACUGUUGGCUCCAUGCAGAUUCAUUUGAUUAUCAGAGGCAAAUUGAAAGUUACGCAGUGGAAUAUCCACUAAUCGGUGUUUCCAGAUACGGUUGCCGGUUGGCAUCUCUAUUAAAUUUUUCUAAACUAGCAAAAUCGUGGGACAUCAAAAGCGUUAAGUUGAUUGUUCACUGAAAGCCUUUGGUGUAAUAAACCGCAAGCCCUUCAGAAAGAAAUGAGCUACUUAGUAGUAGAAACUCAGAGAGACAGACAUAGAGGGGACUCUUUCAUACCUGCUAACUCCUAGGUGUUUACACAUGCUUGUGGUCCUCCUUUAUAUUCUUUCGGGAGAGUCACAGAACGAACAUGGUGCGGAUAUUGGAGGUGUUGAAAAAAGUAGAAGCCUCCAUUAUAAACAUUCCUGAGGGAAAGUCUGCCUGCAAACUCAACCUCCAGACUUUGUGAAGAACGGUUUAUCUACAACAUCUGGUGGUGCCCUCGUGGGCACGUUCUUCUCUGGGGCAGUCUGGUCUAAUAGAAGUCAUCUGACUCACAUGGAAUACGGUGUUCAUUUUCACCGAGCUUGUCGCUUGAGUCAAUACGCUACCUUUCCUAUCAACUUUUCUACAAGGUCUACUUUCAGACCGGGCCAAGCCUUUAGGUUGUUUAAGUAGGCUUCGGCUAAGGUUGUUGCGCUCCUUCCACCUCUUGGAAAAGUAGGCUGAUGGGAAAGCCCCCUCCUAUCGCAAUGGUGUGGGGCGUCAUAGGCUGUUACCCCGUAGCCAACUCGAACGGGCUGAAGUUCGAUGCAGAGCUUUUUGGUUGUUUAGUUAUAGCAGGACUGAGCAACUUCCUACAGCGUAAGUCCUUCUGGUUUGCACUUGGGUUCAUAACCGGUUCAAUUGAAUUAGUUGCACAUGAGUACGGUCUUCUCGGGGUCAGGGUUGCAUAACCCUUUUAGAUCGUUCUAUUCAUGCUUGAAAAACGACCCCAUAGCUCCUUUUAAUGGACAUUUCGAUCAACAACUUGGAGGUAUGGCUAAGUGGCUUAAGGCAUUGGUUUUCUAAAUUACAUACAAGAAGAUUGUAUCAUGGGUUCGAAUCCCAUUUCCUCCGGUACGAAAAUGAAAGGGGCGGGCGAAAUUAAGUGAAAGAACGAACCUCUUGGUGGAGUCCAUUCCCCCGGAGGACAGAAUAUGACUUCUUAGUGACUUGGAGCAGAGAGCCUGUUGCACCUUGUUUUUCUUUGACCGACCUAUCUUCUUUCUAUUAGCAAGCUCCCUUCGGCCGUCCAGUCCUUGGAGGGCUCUCGGUUCUUGAUCAUGUUGAGGGAUUAGGCGGAAGUUUAAACAGCCGCUCGAAAGCUUGAUGAACAAGAGAAAAAAGCCUAUCUGUUCUAUUUUCUUAGUUUAGUAAAGGGCUUUUCCCUUACUAUUCAAGUGGGAAGGUAGGGCGCUGUUCGUUGAAGAAAACAGACUUUAGGAAAGUGGUUCAGGUAGCUUAGUUGGUUAGAGCAAAGAACUGAAAAUCCUUGUGUUAGUGGCUCAAAUCCACUUCUAAGCAGGCAAAAGGUCCAAACCAUAGCCAGAAGCGAGCUGGAUUUAUAAAUGAAAGUGAAAGAGUAAGCAAUAAAAUGUGAGCGCUCCUGCACUAUACGGAGGGCUUUUUGGCGGCAGGGUUAGGGUGGCUUGCUUGAGGCGGAUUAAAAAUAAAGGUGGAUUACUCAGAUUGGUUCUCGCAUCCGUGUGCCUAAAAGGAUGGGCGAGUUAGGUUUGAGUUUUCAUCGAUCGGGUGGAUCUAUAUGCUUCGAGGUGGUGAGACGAGGUGUAGCGCAGUCUGGCCAGUGCAUCUGUUUUGGGUACAGAGGGCCAUUUGUCCGAAUCCUGUCACCUUGAUGUGGUAGCCUUCUCCGUGGUCAGACAGUAAGGCAAACAGCGCAAAGCAUAAAGUAAAUACAUGAUGCCUCGACUAAGUAAAGUGUUUUUGCUCCUUAUUGGUAGUUUCGUAGCAGGUUGUUUCGUACGUUUUCUAGGAUCAGAUAGAAGAACCACCCCAGAAUUGAUCCUUCUUUUCUUCUUACUUUUACUAAGUCUGACUCUAGUUUCUCGUUCAACAAAAAGAAAAAGGAGUGUGAUUCUUUUAUUCCUAAUAUUUUUCAUCUCUUUCUUUUUCUAUUUUCUCCGGAUCUACUUACUUUCUCGCUUAGAUGUUCUUUUGGCUGAUCUUUUCUCUUUUGUUUUGGUUUUGAGUGUGGGGGGAGGGCAAGGACUUCCUCUUCCGGGCCCUUCAAACUCCUCAUCGGAAGAUUUAUUCGGGCUCCAGGUCCUGUCGGAGCUCUUUUCUUCUUACUUUUACUAAGUUUGACUCUACUUUCUUGUUCAACAAAAAUAAAAAGGAGUGUGAUUCUUUUAUUCCUAAUAUUUUUCAUCUCUUUCUUUUUCUAUUUUCUUCGGAUCUACUUACUUUAUCGCUUGGAUGUUCUUUUGGUUGAUUGUUUAUCUUUUGUUUUGGUUUUGAUUCAUCGUAUAGUCACAAGCGCUUAGAGGUAUGAAGUUAAACGAAUCAUACUAUCUGAAGGAGCUUACGUUCUUAAAGGACUCUUAAUAAAUAAAGCUUUUUUGAAGAAAGCAAUUCAAGUCGGGCUUGAAAGAAGCCACGCGAUCCGAUCAGAAGAUAUACAAGAAGAUAAAGGGAGAAGGACUUUUUUAAAUCUGAUCGGUGUAAACAUGAUAUUAAUUAGUCUUUGUCCUUUCGGACUCGACCCGCUCCUACCCACUCUGUGUACUCUUUCACGUACAGCCUCUUUUCCUGCUACACCCGGAACACUAUACUCAGGGUUCCAAACCUCCAGUGAGUAACUAUAAACGAUUGUGUCAUUGAGGUUUUCCACUACAAACUGGCAUUCAAUGGAAAAAUAAUAUCAUCCAUCAGGGAAAAAGGGACAAUGAAAUAACUUCAUCCAAAAAAUACAAAUCCCACCUUUGAAAUUCGGGAAAUGGUUGGACUAUAGCUAUUAUUUGUUCUCAUAUAUUAUCAAAAAGAUCAUCGAAUGGAUCCGUAGUCUUCUCAAAACUCGGUAGUAUGGGGAAAUCCGCUUGGGUGAAAAAGGCGUGUAAAUCUAGUUCAAUCUUUUAAUCUAUCUCAAGAGUAAGCUGCUCCGUUGUAGCCACUUCUGUACCUGUACCGGCUUGAGCGGCUGAAAUAUUGACACUGGGAGAUUGGGGAUUGGCUAAAACACUAGAAUAUGCACAUUUAAGGAUUCGACGAUAAAUAUCGGACAACAAUCUCAUUUUCCUCCUCAUAUUCUGUUUGACUUAUGUUCAUUCGCUUUGCGAGCGGAGCAGUAUACCAAAAAAAAUAAGUGACUACCUUACAUAAGCAAUUCUUCUUAUUCAUAUUCUUUCUUAGUUGAAGUUCCCAUUCUUCGGAUUUACCCAAUGAGCACAACACUUUCUAGGGUAGGUGGUUCCGCUAUUCGGCAACUUGCUAAAUUCCACCAUGCAGCGGCCAUCGCCUACCCUAAUGCUCCUGCAAGCUCACCUUCCUUUUUGAUCAUUUUGAUAAAGGGGGAUGACGAAAGUGGACAAAACAAACUCGCAUUUCUCAUCGAACAAAUACAGGAAAAGAACCAUAUUGAAAACGCUCCUAACCCAACUCCUUCCUUCGUAGAUCCCGUAUAUUGUAAGUGAUCCGAACCUGCCCGGAGCGAGCCUUUCAAGUCUAUCUUAUAGUUUAUCUUGAUGAUCUCAUUGUUUUCAUGAGAGCAUCCUUUAUUUUCAAGGCUGAAAACGGAAUAGUAUUCGUGUCCAAAAGUGAACAAAGCCCUAGCUUCUAGAGCAACGAGGCGAGUGUUCUCGAAGAGAAAAUUGUGAUGGAAAAAGCGUGAGGAGAAUUCUAAACUCGAGAUGUUAGAAGGUGCAAAAUCAAUGGGUGCAGGAGCUGCUACAAUUGCUUCAGCGAGAGAUGCUAUCGGUAUUGGAAAUGUCCUUAGUUCCUCGAUUCAUUCCGUGGCGCUAAAUUCAUCAUUGGCUAAAGAAUUAUUUGGUUAUGCCAUUAGAGCUUCUAGUGAUAAUAAGAAGCAUAAAGAAAGAUGGAUAUCUGGGUGUCUCACAACCGAGAAAAUUAGGGGGGUCAUUUUGGUUUUGGGUAUGCGAUGAAUAGGUUCAAUAGACGAGUCUAUAUAAAAUAGAAAAUGAAAUAAAUAAAAUUCCAUGAAUAGAUAGAGUCAACGGUACGACAGAUAUCGGAGCAGGCAGCAAUGGUGAAGCUGGAUGCUCGAAGUCAUUUUAGAUACGGCAAGACAACUCAGGAGGGGUAGAAAGUUGCCACAACCUAGGAGGGGUUUAUAGGAAUCCAAAGCGAAUGGGUCAGUCUUUUAGUUCUCCCAGAUUAGAAUAUCAAAGGAGGACGUUCUUUGACCGGCCUAUCUUCUUUCUAUAAGCAAGCUCCCUCCGGUCGUCCAGUCCCUACACGGCUCUCGGUUCUUGAGAUUCUCAAAGUCCGUACCUGUACCGAAGAGACCAGACCUUGGGAAGGCAUCACCUUCACUUGACAGAUUUAUUCAAUUGAACUCAAACUCAAAGGAGGACCACAAGCUUAGGGCUCGACGAAACACAUCGUGUUCUCACUUAGCAGAGUCCUGUGUUUUUAAUAAAUAGCCGCUACCCCUGGUAUGUUCCUCUUUCCUAAUCAAAAGAUAGGAGACCAUCUUAAAAGACGAAUACGAAUUAGUAGGGCUGCCCCCAAUAACUCUUUUUGAAUGGACAUCUGAGAUAGCAUGAUUAGUUCCACAAAUCUCACUGCACUAACCAUAGUAAACUCCUUCUCGUUGUACCGAGAGAUUGUUUUUGAGUUCAAAGAAGAUGCCUCCAACUGCUUAGGGGAACCCACUCUUCUUCCUUGCGUUCGAUUAGGGGCCCCUGCCCUCCAUUCUCUCAAGUACCUCUCCGCUUCCUCUGCUUGCUUUCAUGUAGUUUAUUGCUUAGGUAAAAAAGUUUAUUCCGGCUAGACUUUCUUCUUCUCUUAACUAGGAUUCUCUCUGCUUCCUCUAUUUGCUUUCAUGUAGUUUAUUGCUUAGUUAAAAAAGUUUAUUCCGGCUAGAUUUUCUUCUUCUCCUAACUAAAAUCAUAUUCCAUUCAAUAGAAAAUUCUUUCAAUUCAACGAAAGAGAUUCUCAUAUUCCGUAGAUGCGAGAUAUAGAAAUUUGCCUUUCAUAGUUGUGGAAGCAGUUUUGUUGUUGGAAUCCUUAUUUGUUAAAGAAGAAGUUAAUGGUCGAGUAACAAAUCUUUUUCAUUCCGUCAAAAAUCAAUUUUACGGUAUAGACUCAUAUGACCUCCCCUUCUAUGCCUUGCGGUAACGAAUCCUAUGGCAAUACGACCUUUACCACAAUGAUGGCUUCUAAUAAUAAAUUAGCUCAGUCAUUAAUUAUGCAAUGACUUUCUUUUUCAUAGCGUCAACGUUACCUUUAUAUCUCCCUCGUCUAGUCGAGAUUCCAUAAGAGAAAGGGAUCAAAUCUGUAGUUGUAGUUUCUAUACCUCAAUCCAAUAUCGCUUCCAUUCAUCAUCCAUUCUGAGGAAAGAUUCUUGAAUAACAGGCUAAGAAUAGUCUUAUAAGUCCUUGUUUGUUAUUUAUGCUUCAGCAAGAAAGUAAUAGGCGACCAUUUCGCGCGGUUCGGGGGGCACUUGAGUCAGCGACUAGAGCAACCUUUGAAGGCGCUCGGCCUUCUCAAAUUUAGGGUUUCGUUCCGGCCUUGUUUCGUAGUGAAUUUAUGGAUUUGAAUACUUCUACAAUAAAUUCUCUUUUGUAAAUUCAACUUGAAUUAUACCUGGAACAGAGAAAAAGGGUAUCCAACGCUACCUCUCUUUUUGUUGGUGAAGUGAAUGAAAUCGUUGUCGCCUACUUCACUGAGUUGUGGUUCUACAAAGCCACCUAUGUGUGAUUCAUCCUAAGUAGCUAACCAAAAAACGACUUCCUUGUGGUAGUAAUUGCGAAUGAGAAAGUAGGGAGCGGUUCCAAACCUUCCAAAAGUGAUAGGUAUGUGUUGUUUCUUGGCACUCGCUUUCUAUAUUAUGCCAACCUAAAAAGAGAGAUGGAAAGUGGAUUACAGUUUCGAUAGUCUCGAGAAGGUAUGAAACUAAGAUAGUAACUAUUUCUAGUAAUAAUUAAGAGUUAAGCGCCUUCAAGGCCUAUAAAUAGAAGCUUCUUUCAGUGUAUAUUUUCAAAGAGAGACGUAGAAGUCAAAAAGAAAUAUCGGAAAGCAUGGGAGAAAAAAAUAUGCACAAACAAAAAAGGGCUAAAAAUGAAAUUCCCCUAGCAUCUCGGUCACUUUUACGUUUUCGUUAUUUUGUAAUCCCCGGGACUUUAGGGAUCGUUCCUGCGCAUCUCCUUACUUUAUAGCUGUUAUUGCUCCGGUUCCAGAAGGUGGGAAGGAUCGUUGCCGGUUUGGAAAGCUUUGUUAUACGGAUAUUCCAUCCAAAUCUGCCACUCCUUGGGCGAGGCCUUCUGUUCUAUGAACACCCCACCACUGAAUGAUUCACUUUCAAGUUCUCGCCUCCGACCCGGGAGAACACAGGGUCAAGCCAAGCCCUGACCCGCCUAAAUGGAAUUCAUAUCUCCUUCGUCUGGUCGAGAAGGGAGGGGAACUGGACUCUGCCUCUAAGUUCUCGCCUCCGACCCGGGAGAACUCUCUGAAAAAUAGAAUAUUACUAAAAAAGGUGACUCGUAGUCCCUUUUCGAGCGUUAUCUUCCCUGUGGAUGAUCCAGUUCUCGAGUUGCAAAGCACAAUUCAGUAUUGAGGAAGUAUCGUACCAUGAUAUUAUACUCCUUGGGUUCUGCUGGCCUCAUGCUCCAAACUGAUGGCGUCUCGAUGUUCUCCUGGCGCUCUCCCCCUUUAUGAAGUAUGUAAAAAGGCUUAGCCUUAGGUGGUCGUGACCAAGAAACUACUGGUUUCACUUGGUGGGCCGGGAAUGCCCCACAACUUAAUUUAUCCGGUAAACUACUAGGGGCUCAUGUAGUCCAUGCUAUUCUAGGCCGGAGCAAUGAACCUAUUUGAAGUGGCCCAUUUUGUACCAGAGAAGCCUAUGUAUGAACAAGGAUUAAUUUGACUUCCCCACCUCUUCAAUGAAGACAUAUUUUUUUUCUUUCUCCCUCAUUUCUCAUUUUGUUGAUUGAAAGAGAAUAAGAGCUAUCCAUUAAGUAAAGAGAGGGUUUUCGGUCGGUUCCCGUUUGCCUUCCCCACUCAUAGUCCAUUAGUGGGUAAGGUGGUCAACUUAAAGGGCGCCCGCCUUCUCUUCAGACGUGUCCUCGACAACCUGGCGGUUCUUCGGUCUUCGCUUUUGGGGGCGAGAGUGCUUGGUCGCUGGGGUUUCCUUUUCCUCAACCAAUUUGGUUGUGUUAGCCCUGAGAUUAGUCUAACAUUUUGUUAUGAGCUGGGUGGAUUGAAGGUCAGAUAAAAUUUGUGUUCGAGUGGCACAGCACCUUCGAUCGACCAUAGGGCCUAUUGUACCCUUACCGAAUUCAUUCUAUUAAAAUCUUCAUGGAGAGUUCAAUUUCAUCGGGUCCAUGUCGAAGACAGCGGGGCAGGCGUUACACCAUUCGUGCAGGUUGCUACUUAUGCGACAAGGAAUUUUGCUACCAUAGGUGACUACGAGGCCGAAGAGUCUUACUACAGGGCAAGACUGAUUUGGGUUCCAAAGUUGUUAUAAUGGCGGGACGGAAAGAGAGGAAGCUACUACUACCGGGCGAGAUGUUAGUGGAAAAGAAUAGGGUUCAGAGAGAGAGUGAGAUAGGCAGACAGGGAGUACGCAGCCGAACAACCGCUGGGGUUUCAAGUAGUGAUAGCUGAACUAAUCAGAUGGGCCGCCCCAAAAGAAGGACUUCGUUGAAAAAUCAAAAUCUAUUGGUUACAUCUCACGUACUUGCCCAUAUUACUUAUAUAGGGUGACCCACUUCUACUUACGCCUCGAAGACUCAAUAGCAAUUCCAUCUCGUCUUUCCGGGCCCGGGAAGGGCAGAGUGGUCACUCAACCAAUACCGGCUUGUACAAGGAAAGCGGUCCCUUACCUUCUCUAUUUCCUUCCCGUAAUCGAACCCGGUAACACGAUUUGAAUGUGGAUUUAUUCCCAUCGACUUCCCGAAAACGCAUGUUGACGGAUUCAGCCAAUUCACUUGUCAAAGCUUAGUUAUCCGUGAACGAGAACUCGUUUUUCCUGUUGGCUAGCUUAUGAUGGUUUCCUGUCCCAAGUCAACAUAUUUCUUUUUUUGCUCCAUCUUGGUAGCAGGCUUGUGUGCGAGCUUGGUCUGAUUUCAAUUCCUAACGCCCAAGGUUUUCCACUCGAUGGAUCCCACAAUUAUCCUGGUAAUUCGUGGGUGCCUAUUCUUCGAUCCAAACUGGUGAUUCACCGCGUUCCCUUCUCUAGUCAGGAAUGGAAUCAGGGAUGCCCCAUGGCAUCAAUGAAGAAGGCGGCACAAACGAGGCUUGAGGUUUUCUUAAGGAAGGCAGCAAGGGCUGACGGAGGGUGGAAAACGAAAGGCGUUUUUUGGUCCCCCUGAUCCAGGGGGUGCUUGUNNNNNNNNNNNNNNNNNNNNNNNNNNNNNNNNNNNNNNNNNNNNNNNNNNNNNNNNNNNNNNNNNNNNNNNNNNNNNGGGGGGGGGGGGUGUGCCACGACAAAACAAGGGAAUGAAAGGCUGCUUUACAUUGGAUGCUCUUUAACCUCCCCACAAUGAUGGCUCAGUUGUCUUGGGUAGCGUUGAAGCUUGAUUCUUCGAAAGACUUUUCUUGGUCAUCAAUAUGACCUGUUCUUAAUAGAACCGAUCUUAUUCUCUAAACAAUCGGAAUUUUGUACUUCUGUCGGAUCCUCACUAUCUCCUGAUCGAGCUUGUGUAGGUAGAACAAUCGAGCGAUUUCCUUCGCAGAUCCAAACGCGCUCACAAGGCGCACAAUAAGAAUAAGACCAAUAGAGACUUCAUAAGGGACCAUUUGAGCUGCAGAUCGUAAUGCUCCUAGAGAGGCAUAUUUCGAAUAUAGAGGAGUGAAAGUUCCCAACAAAUAAGUACUUUUUCAUAUCCU